GUGUCUCCUGGAAAACGGGUGGUAAUGCCGGAUGCUCCAGUUGAUCGCAUGGUCUUCUGGGAAAGCUUUCGCGGUAUGGGAUGGGGUCGCGUCCUAUCAGCUUGACGGCGGGGUAACGGCCCACCGUGGCUUCGACGGGUAGCCGGCCUGAGAGGGCGACCGGCCACAUUGGGACUGAGAUACGGCCCAGACUCCUACGGGAGGCAGCAGUGGGGAAUAUUGCACAAUGGGCGCAAGCCUGAUGCAGCGACGCCGCGUGAGGGAUGGAGGCCUUCGGGUUGUAAACCUCUUUUAUCGGGGAGCAAGCGAGAGUGAGUUUACCCGUUGAAUAAGCACCGGCUAACUACGUGCCAGCAGCCGCGGUAAUACGUAGGGUGCAAGCGUUAUCCGGAAUUAUUGGGCGUAAAGGGCUCGUAGGCGGUUCGUCGCGUCCGGUGUGAAAGUCCAUCGCUUAACGGUGGAUCCGCGCCGGGUACGGGCGGGCUUGAGUGCGGUAGGGGAGACUGGAAUUCCCGGUGUAACGGUGGAAUGUGUAGAUAUCGGGAAGAACACCACCC
This 557-nucleotide ribosomal RNA is filed under the name Bifidobacterium longum subsp. suillum. RNAcentral describes it as "bacterial SSU rRNA". It matches the Rfam family "Bacterial small subunit ribosomal RNA", at positions 143 to 714 of the family's 1533-position model. Lineage: Bacteria; Bacillati; Actinomycetota; Actinomycetes; Bifidobacteriales; Bifidobacteriaceae. The record is from RNAcentral.